This is a long non-coding RNA of Symsagittifera roscoffensis, 1329 nucleotides long. RefSeq lists it as uncharacterized. The record is from RefSeq and is a predicted model, not a curated record. The transcript has 3 exons. Lineage: Eukaryota; Metazoa; Xenacoelomorpha; Acoela; Convolutidae.
AAAGAACGGCUGAGCUGAGGAGAACAGAACAAAAAAUGCAUCAACUGAGUUACUCUGUAAUCAAUUUUCUUCAGCAGCGGUUGCUGAACAUCAAUGCCAAGCAGACAGUUUUUCAUUAUAAGUAUUUACAUUUGUUGCAUAAAUUUUAUAACUAACUUCCUGUUAAUAUCUAAAUAAAACCGUCUUUUUCGUUCUAGCCCAAUUAGGCUGUUGAAAAUUAGCACAGCCGAGGAUAUAACUUGAAGAAAAAAACUGCACGCCAUCCUUAUUUUUUUACGUGAACUGGGGAUGUAAUUUGACCUCUGCUUGCUGAACAAUUUCUGCUUGGAGCUAUUACAGUAUGCAGCAAGAAAUGUUUGAUGGUGGAACUACCCCUUGCUAAUUCAUCACAUUUUAAUACGCACAUUUCCCGUAAGGAAGUACUGAGCACCACGUACCCUCUGAUAUAAUGCCACGCGGGCUCCGUUAUCGAAAAUGUAGCGAUUAUUAAAAAGCUGCUCUUGGGUUAAAACAGAAUCAUAAUUUACUUCCUCUUAUCCCAGAAGUACUUGAACUCCACCCUGAAUUUAAUCCAUGAAAUUAAAUUUAAUCACUUGCAUCUGAUUUGCACAUUUUAAAGUCCCCAAAUUGUGAUUCUAGAAAAAUACCAUUCUUAGGAUAUAACAACUCCAUCGACGACUGAUACUAUCUACUGUCUGUCCAGCUUUCAAAUAUUCUUUUAACAAGACUCCAAAUUAUACACAAGCACAAUGUCAUCCAGCAAUCAUGAAGUAGAAUUUAUGGAACCAAGAGAGUAUUCUCAGACAUCGUCGACCGCCAACAACAGUACAAACAUCAAUUCACCCAGCGAGACGAAAUCCCAGUCAGUCGAAUCCCAACGGAAACGCAAAUAUCUUUUGCUGGGAGUAUUUGUGACAGCUUGUAUUUACUUCAACAUCUUCAUGGCAUUAUGUCCGGUCAUUUUCAAAGUGCUUAGCGAUUACACGGACUGGAAUUGGAUUGAAGUUUUUGAUUUAUCUCAAUUCGAUCAUUUAGUGUUCUUUAGCAAGAGCUCGGGCCAUACAAGCGCAGUUUAACAUAAUUUCAAUCUAAGUUGACUUUAAAUUUCACUAGUUAAUUAUAAUCUAUAGGUAAUAAUUGAUAUAUUUUUUGUUGAAGCGUUAAUUAUUACGACUACUGAAAGUAUGGAGUGACUUUCUCUUCGGAUUUGUUAGUUUUGUAAAUUUUUUUAUUUUAUUUUCAAUUACCACAAAACGCAUCAGGAGUGGUUGCGUUCAGUGUCCAAUUAAAUUCCUCUAUUUUGUGAUCAGAACGAAAAUUUUAAUCAGU